Molecule: ribosomal RNA, 491 nt
Filed under: uncultured prokaryote
Description: bacterial SSU rRNA
Rfam family: Bacterial small subunit ribosomal RNA
Source: RNAcentral
CGGCGUGCUUAACACAUGCAAGUCGAGCGAUGAAGCUCCUUCGGGAGUGGAUUAGCGGCGGACGGGUGAGUAACACGUGGGUAACCUACCUCAAAGAGGGGGAUAGCCUCCCGAAAGGGAGAUUAAUACCGCAUAAUAAUCAGUUUUCACAUGGAGACUGAUUUAAAGGAGUAAUCCGCCUUGAGAUGGACCCGCGGCGCAUUCGCUAGUUGGUAGGGUAACGGCCUACCAAGGCGACGAUGCGUAGCCGACCUGAGAGGGUGAUCGGCCACAUUGGAACUGAGAGACGGUCCAGACUCCUACGGGAGGCAGCAGUGGGGAAUAUUGCACAAUGGGCGAAAGCCUGAUGCAGCAAAGCCGCGUGAGUGAAGAAGGUUUUCGGAUUGUAAAGCUCUGUCUUUGGGGACGAUAAUGACGGUACCCAAGGAGGAAGCCACGGCUAACUACGUGCCAGCAGCCGCGGUAAUACGUAGGUGGCGAGCGUUGUCCGG